AAUUGAAGAGUUUGAUCAUGGCUCAGAUUGAACGCUGGCGGCAGGCCUAACACAUGCAAGUCGAACGGUAACAGGAAGCAGCUUGCUUCUUUGCUGACGAGUGGCGGACGGGGGAGUAAUGUCUGGGAAACUGCCUGAUGGAGGGGGAUAACUACUGGAAACGGUAGCUAAUACCGCAUAACGUCGCAAGACCAAAGAGGGGGACCUUCGGGCCUCUUGCCAUCGGAUGUGCCCAGAUGGGAUUAGCUUGUUGGUGGGGUAACGGCUCACCAAGGCGACGAUCCCUAGCUGGUCUGAGAGGAUGACCAGCCACACUGGAACUGAGACACGGUCCAGACUCCUACGGGAGGCAGCAGUGGGGAAUAUUGCACAAUGGGCGCAAGCCUGAUGCAGCCAUGCCGCGUGUAUGAAGAAGGCCUUCGGGUUGUAAAGUACUUUCAGCGGGGAGGAAGGGAGUAAAGUUAAUACCUUUGCUCAUUGACGUUACCGGCAGAAGAAGCACCGGCUAACUCCGUGCCAGCAGCCGCGGUAAUACGGAGGGUGCAAGCGUUAAUCGGAAUUACUGGGCGUAAAGCGCACGCAGGCUGUUUGUUAAGUCAGAUGUNAAA
RNAcentral lists this ribosomal RNA (608 nucleotides) under Escherichia coli O121:H19 str. 2010C-4989. RNAcentral's name for it is "bacterial SSU rRNA". It matches the Rfam family "Bacterial small subunit ribosomal RNA", at positions 1 to 599 of the family's 1533-position model. Lineage: Bacteria; Pseudomonadati; Pseudomonadota; Gammaproteobacteria; Enterobacterales; Enterobacteriaceae. The record is from RNAcentral.